Toxorhynchites rutilus septentrionalis is the source of this 486-nucleotide long non-coding RNA. RefSeq lists it as uncharacterized. The record is from RefSeq and is a predicted model, not a curated record. NCBI's taxonomy places the organism in Eukaryota, Metazoa, Arthropoda, Insecta, Diptera, Culicidae. The transcript has 4 exons.
GAUAAUUUGCAAGUGAUAUGGAUGCUGAAAUUAUUAUUUCACUUCUUCAGCAACUACCAGUGCUGUGGAACAAAUUCUGUGAUACAAGUUUCUGUUCAAAGAGAAGCAAUGGUCGCAGGUGCACGAUGUCAUCAUUGGGCAUAUUGCCACGGACUGUGUUAUUAACGGCUCAGUUACAUAAGUUUAAUAGGAAACCGAUUACUCGCGGUCGACUCGAGUUUAGAAGGGUGACACAUUUUCAUUAGGAAAAGGAUGGGAUGAAUUUGGUUGACAUCGAACAUCAUCAUACUCUACCUUCAGUACUUCAACUUAUCAGUGGUAUGCCGUGUGUUAUCAAUAUUGUCUCUAAUAAUAUCAGCCCCAGUAGACUGUCUACGAUUAUAUCUGGGUUAUUCUGGCAACCUUCUCGAUAAGGUAAAUGGUAGCUAAAGUUCUGAUUAACUACAAAGUUUCAUCGUUCCUAUUUAUUACUUUAGGUACCGGAUU